Molecule: unclassified non-coding RNA, 459 nt
Filed under: Hevea brasiliensis (rubber tree)
Lineage: Eukaryota; Viridiplantae; Streptophyta; Magnoliopsida; Malpighiales; Euphorbiaceae
Source: RNAcentral
GAGAUGACCAACAUUCCUGCACAGGUUUGCUUUCAAAAUAGACAUUCAUGGCCCCCUUGAGAUGCAACCAGAUGUUUCUUGCAAAUUUUGAUUCAGGCAUUCAUAGCCUAAACAACUUAAUUUUGAAACAGAUACAGAUUAAUAUAUAAGCAGUGUAAAGGAAUAAAAAAUUAUAGAAGUGCAGUCGGUUAGAAUUCUCAUGAUAUCUCAGAUUAACAUAAGUCAACUUUUACAUUUGACACCAAUUACAAAGACAACUGAGUUGAUUCAGUCACAUACUGAGGAGUUCCUUUUCUUAAUAAUUUCUCCUCUUAAUCUAUGUAGUUGUCACACACUUGCACUGAUGAAAUCAAACAUCACAAGGAUCCUUCAGUCCAAAUAAUAUUUAAACUACUGAUACUCGUACUAAUUGUUGCUUAUCAUGAUUUGAUCCUGCAGACAGUGGAUGAGAUUUAUAAG